Molecule: ribosomal RNA, 1339 nt
Filed under: uncultured bacterium
Lineage: Bacteria
Description: 16S ribosomal RNA
Rfam family: Bacterial small subunit ribosomal RNA
Source: RNAcentral
AGAGGUUGAUUCUGGCUCAGGACGAACGCUGGCGGCGCGCCUAACACAUGCAAGUCGAACGAGCGAGAGAGAGCUUGCUUUCUCGAGCGAGUGGCGAACGGGUGAGUAACGCGUGAGGAACCUGCCUCAAAGAGGGGGACAACAGUUGGAAACGACUGCUAAUACCGCAUAAGCCCACGGUGCCGCAUGGCACAGAGGGAAAAGGAGCAAUCCGCUUUGAGAUGGCCUCGCGUCCGAUUAGCUAGUUGGUGAGGUAACGGCCCACCAAGGCGACGAUCGGUAGCCGGACUGAGAGGUUGAACGGCCACAUUGGGACUGAGACACGGCCCAGACUCCUACGGGAGGCAGCAGUGGGGAAUAUUGCACAAUGGGGGAAACCCUGAUGCAGCGACGCCGCGUGGAGGAAGAAGGUCUUCGGAUUGUAAACUCCUGUUGUUGGGGAAGAUAAUGACGGUACCCAACAAGGGAGUGACGGCUAACUACGUGCCAGCAGCCGCGGUAAAACGUAGGUCACGAGCGUUGUCCGGAAUUACUGGGUGUAAAGGGAGCGCAGGCGGGAAGACAAGUUGGAAGUGAAAUCUAUGGGCUCAACCCAUAAACUGCUUUCAAAACUGUUUUUCUUGAGUAGUGCAGAGGUAGGCGGAAUUCCCGGUGUAGCGGUGGAAUGCGUAGAUAUCGGGAGGAACACCAGUGGCGAAGGCGGCCUACUGGGCACCAACUGACGCUGAGGCUCGAAAGUGUGGGUAGCAAACAGGAUUAGAUACCCUGGUAGUCCACACCGUAAACGAUGAUUACUAGGUGUUGGAGGAUUGACCCCUUCAGUGCCGCAGUUAACACAAUAAGUAAUCCACCUGGGGAGUACGACCGCAAGGUUGAAACUCAAAGGAAUUGACGGGGGCCCGCACAAGCAGUGGAGUAUGUGGUUUAAUUCGACGCAACGCGAAGAACCUUACCAAGUCUUGACAUCCCUUGACAGGCAUAGAAAUAUGUUUUCUCUUCGGAGCAAGGAGACAGGUGGUGCAUGGUUGUCGUCAGCUCGUGUCGUGAGAUGUUGGGUUAAGUCCCGCAACGAGCGCAACCCUUAUGGUCAGUUACUACGUAAGAGGACUCUGGCCAGACUGCCGUUGACAAAACGGAGGAAGGUGGGGAGGACGUCAAAUCAUCAUGCCCUUUAUGACUUGGGCUACACACGUACUACAAUGGCGUUAAACAAAGAGAAGCAAGACCGCGAGGUGGAGCAAAACUCAGAAACAACGUCCCAGUUCGGACUGCAGGCUGCAACUCGCCUGCACGAAGUCGGAAUUGCUAGUAAUCGUGGAUCAGCAUGCCACGGUGAAUA